GGCCUCAGGCUCCUUCCUACUGUCCGAGGGCCACCAGGCCGCCGGGGGCCUGCUGCGCCCGGAUGCGUCUGUUACUAGAGUGGAGAGUCUACCUUCGUCUCACAUGUGCCACAAAGGAUGGCAUGGCCCGGGAGUGCCCCACCACGUGGCUUUCACCCCCUGCAAAGCCAGACUUCGCCCAGCGACACAGUGUCAAGCCCACAGCUCUCCAAGGAGGAAGAUGGUCCAGGCUGGGAGCAUCCCCUUAGCAGCAGCCUCUGAGAUGGGGUUCCGCCAUGUUGCCCAGGCUGGUCUCUAACUCAUGAGCUCAGUCCAUCCGCCUACCUCAGCCUCUCAAAGUGCGGGGAUUACAUGCAUGAGUCAUUGCAUCUGAUCAGGAGGCCUUAUCUUCUGAGUGGACUGGGGUGGUGGCCCAUGAACAGGAUGGGGAUCACGCAAUCCCCUGCAACCCUCUUCGGCUUCGUGACACAAAUGCAAGUUACCUC
RNAcentral lists this long non-coding RNA (485 nucleotides) under Homo sapiens (human). RNAcentral's name for it is "non-protein coding lnc-KMT5B-2:7". Lineage: Eukaryota; Metazoa; Chordata; Mammalia; Primates; Hominidae. The record is from RNAcentral.